RNAcentral lists this transfer RNA (69 nucleotides) under Leptotrombidium deliense. RNAcentral's name for it is "tRNA-Ala for anticodon UGC". It matches the Rfam family "tRNA". From Rfam's summary of the family: Transfer RNA (tRNA) molecules are approximately 80 nucleotides in length. Their secondary structure includes four short double-helical elements and three loops (D, anti-codon, and T loops). Lineage: Eukaryota; Metazoa; Arthropoda; Arachnida; Trombidiformes; Trombiculidae. The record is from Rfam by way of RNAcentral.
GGAGAUGUGGCUCAGUGGUAGAGUGCUUGCCUUGCAAGCAUGAGGCCCUGGGUUUGAUUCCCAGCACCA